This 1461-nucleotide ribosomal RNA is filed under the name uncultured bacterium. RNAcentral describes it as "partial 16S ribosomal RNA". It matches the Rfam family "Bacterial small subunit ribosomal RNA". The record is from RNAcentral.
GAUGAACGCUAGCGACAGGCCUAACACAUGCAAGUCGAGGGGCAGCACGGUGUAGCAAUACACGGGUGGCGACCGGCGUACGGGUGAGUAACGCGUAUGCAACCUGCCUACUACAAGGGGAUAACCCGUUGAAAGACGGACUAAUACCCUAUAACACAGGGAAUCCGCAUGGAUAUAUUUGUUAAAGAUUUAUCGGUAGUAGAUGGGCAUGCGUUCCAUUAGCUUGUUGGUGAGGUAACGGCUCACCAAGGCAACGAUGGAUAGGGGAACUGAGAGGUUGAUCCCCCACACUGGAACUGAGACACGGUCCAGACUCCUACGGGAGGCAGCAGUGAGGAAUAUUGGUCAAUGGACGAGAGUCUGAACCAGCCAAGUCGCGUGAAGGAAGACGGCCCUACGGGUUGUAAACUUCUUUUGUAAGGGAAUAAAUAGUCUUACGAGCUAAGACGUUGCAGGUACCUUACGAAUAAGGAUCGGCUAACUCCGUGCCAGCAGCCGCGGUAAUACGGAGGAUCCGAGCGUUAUCCGGAUUUAUUGGGUUUAAAGGGUGCGCAGGCGGCAUGUUAAGUCGGCGGUGAAAUUUUGCAGCUCAACUGUAAAAGAGCCUUCGAAACUGGCAAGCUUGAGUGUGGAUGAAGUAGGCGGAAUUUGUGGUGUAGCGGUGAAAUGCAUAGAUAUCACAAAGAACACCGAUUGCGCAGGCAGCUUACUAAACCAUAACUGACGCUCAUGCACGAAGGCGUGGGGAUCAAACAGGAUUAGAUACCCUGGUAGUCCACGCAGUAAACGAUGAUUGCUAGGUGUAGGUGGGUAUGGACCCAUCGGUGCCGCCGCUAACGCAAUAAGUAUUCCACCUGGGGAGUACGUUCGCAAGAAUGAAACUCAAAGGAAUUGACGGGGACCCGCACAAGCGGUGGAGCAUGUGGUUUAAUUCGAUGCAACGCGAAGAACCUUACCAGGACUUGACAUCCCAGGGACCUGGCGUAAUGGCCGGGGUGCCCCUUUUGGGGAACCUGGAGACAGGUGGUGCAUGGUUGUCGUCAGCUCGUGUCGUGAGAUGUUGGGUUAAGUCCCGCAACGAGCGCAACCCUUACUGUCAGUUGCUACGCAAGAGCACUCUGACGGGACUGCCGUUGACAAAACGGAGGAAGGUGGGGAUGACGUCAAAUCAUCAUGCCCCUUACGUCCUGGGCUACACACGUACUACAAUGGCGAGAACAAAGGGGAGCGAAGCCGCGAGGCGGAGCAAAUCCCAAAAAAAUCGUCCCAGUUCAGAUUGCAGGCUGCAACCCGCCUGCAUGAAGUCGGAAUUGCUAGUAAUCGCGGAUCAGCAUGCCGCGGUGAAUACGUUCCCGGGCUUUGUACACACCGCCCGUCACACCAUGGGAGUCGGUAACACCCGAAGCCGGUUGCCUAACCGCAAGGAGGGCGCCGUCGAAGGUGGGAUUGAUGACUGGGGUU